RNAcentral lists this ribosomal RNA (257 nucleotides) under uncultured prokaryote. Its description in RNAcentral is "partial 16S ribosomal RNA". It matches the Rfam family "Bacterial small subunit ribosomal RNA", at positions 524 to 780 of the family's 1533-position model. The record is from RNAcentral.
UACGGAGGAUGCGAGCGUUAUCCGGAUUUAUUGGGUUUAAAGGGUGCGUAGGCGGCUUUUUAAGUCAGCGGUGAAAUUUUGCAGCUUAACUGUAACAGUGCCGUUGAUACUGGGGAGCUAGGAUUUGGUUGCUGUGGGUGGAAUGUGUGGUGUAGCGGUGAAAUGCUUAGAGAUCGCACAGAAUAUCGAUUGCGAAGGCAGCUCACAAAGCCAAGAUUGACGCUGAGGCACGAAAGUGUGUGGAUCAAACAGGAUUA